Bubalus bubalis (water buffalo) is the source of this 2792-nucleotide long non-coding RNA. RefSeq lists it as uncharacterized. The transcript has 3 exons. Lineage: Eukaryota; Metazoa; Chordata; Mammalia; Artiodactyla; Bovidae. The record is from RefSeq and is a predicted model, not a curated record.
CAACCUUUCCCAGCAUCAGGGUCUUUUCCAAUGAGUCAGUUCUUAGCAUCAGGUGGCCAAAGUAUUGGAGCUUCAGCUUCAGCAUCUGUCCUUCCAAUGAAUAUUCAGGGAUGAUUUCACUUAGGACUGAUAUUCUGCUUUUUGGUGUUUGGAUUCAGUACUGAGGAUUUGAUGCUUUUCUUCAGAUCAGAGGCAACUGGCUGUAGUCCUAUAGGCCUAGGGUCCCCAGAAAGGUAGCCAGGAAAGGUCUCCCACAGCCCAUUCCCCUAAAAUAGUUUCAACAAUCCUUCCAUUCUGAGAUAAUCCCAGAAGCCAAAAUGCCAAACUAGGAAGGGAACUGGGUGGGGGCGUCUGCAGUGAGGCCGCCAUGCCCACCCCCACCAGCCCAAACAGAUUUGCCGGAGUGAGUUAUAAAUCUACUGGUACCAUUUCUUUUUCGUCACUUGCCUAAUCCUGUGCCCUUCGUUUCAUGUGCUGUAAUUAUUAACAUCUGCUUUCUGAGCCUGGCCCGCAUGGAGUUUGCAAAGGCAGUUUUCAGUCCAGAACAAUGGUGACAGCUGUUUCAUUUAGCCUAGGGCCAGCACUUCCUGUUCAGUCUACAUCUGCCCUCCUGUGUCCAAUUUCUGAUUCAGGGUUUUCUGUUUUGUUUUCUGGGUUGUUUUUUUUUUUCCCUUCAUCUGACCUUACUAUAUGUUUGAGAAGAAUUUCUAACUUAACACUCCGGCUAGUAUUUCUAGCACAUAUGCUUAUUAGAUUGGCGACAGCCAAAGAGAGAGAUAGGAGAAAACCAGGACUGUCUUCCGCAGCUAACAAGGUGGAGGGCAGACAGAGGCACAAAGGAGGUCUGACCAUGAAUCUAGGGGACCAGACUCAAGGAAACUUCUGGGCCUUGAAGUUGAAGUAUAGGCUGACCUCUCUGGAAGCUAGGCACAGGAAGAGCGGCCUUAGCUCACCUGUCCCCUGACCCAGUAUCAUCUCCAUAGCUUAUUUGGUAAGAGGUCACCCAAACAUAUCUCCAAGGGAACCGUGUGUCUGGGUGGCCACCAACACACGGAGGCCCUUCUUCCUUGGGAAUCAAGGAAGCUCGUCAGGUGAGGCAAGAUUCAGAGGCCCCCAGUUCACUGUUUCCCGCUGAGGCUCCAGCAUUGCAAUAGAAACCCUUCCUAAUUUGUACCCGGAAGUCCAAUGGACGGGAAAGGACCAUACUGCCGUGGGGCAGUGCUCGGUAUUUAUUGCCAAACGGGGCGAAACGCAGUCUCCACUUGGAUAAGAACUGCAGGGGGUGGAAGUGUCCUGUGGGUGCACAAGGGAGAGCAUGGAAAGGCAGACUCACCCAUCAGAGGCUCCCGACCUCCAGAGGCUGCCUCUGCCUCUCGCGGGAUCUCUAGCGUGUGUCUGCCCCUCUCGCGGGAUCUCAGGGCAUCAGGACUGGAGAUCUCGCAAGAGCUGAUGCCCACCUCACCCCCUUACAACUCUUAGCAGAUGAAGAAACUAAACGUCAGGGAGAGGGGGUGCUUUCCUGCGGUUGUCGCUUGGUCGAGCUUGAUGCUAUUGGACAGAGAAGCAAAGGAAGAUAUGCUCCGACUGGCUGCACCCCUGGGCUGAAAUCUCAGCUCCCUCAGUGACCCUCCCCACUUGAUGGUCUGCUUGCAGAUUUCCGUAACAGUCUCUUCGCUCGCUCCUUCAGGUCCAAGUGUGGUUUAUUGAUUAAAGUUGAGUCUCCUACAACCAACAAUGAAAGAAAGGGGUCUUCAUCAAGGAGAAAAGGAAGGAAACAGAAUUCAGAGAACUGGCCCAGGACCCUUGCAACACCUGGCAAGUACAUCAUCUCAUUGAGUGAUGAAGAAGGACAUGGUGGCCCUCCUAUAAUUCAUCACAGUUCAUUAUGUCAUAGUCAACAUAACCAAGUGCUUAUGAUAAACCUGACUCUGUGCUUUAUGGUCUUGACUCAUUCAAUCUGUUAAUGACAUUAACUGGAACAACUCCAAAAGGUGGGAGGAAGAAAGUGAGGCCCAUAGGCAUGCACUGACAUGGGGUCACACAGCUGCUGAGAGUGGAGAGCUGGGGCUUGAACCCACAUAGUCCUUCCAUAAUUAUCUACUCCACUACCCACCUCCUCACCUGAGUGGAUUCUGCCAUGUGGGGCCUUCCAGGUUUAGGUUAUGACCUGGGCACUGGGGAAACUGAACUGAGAAUCAGCUGGGCACAGGCCCAACAGCACGGCUGAGUGAAGUGAAAAGCAGGCUUGCCGGGGUGAAGGAAGACCAGACCAGCUUCCCACCUGGAUCCCUCUGUCUCCUGUCUUUCUCUCAUCAUGGCCACAGGCAGCCUCUGGAAGAGCAUUACCAGAAAAUCAGGAAAGAAAGAGACAGCCCUCUGUUAAAGAGAAACCCAAAGGCCCCAGAUGACAUCUCCUGUACUAAAGCCUCUGCUGACAGACCUGACAUCUAUGGUUUUGCCCUUCCCCAGGAAGGUAAUGGUACUAAGCCAGUCUGGAAUUCCCUGGUCAGCACCAAUGAGAUCAUCUAUCAUGGGGCCCUCUCCAUUUCCCCCACCAAGGGAUGAAGAGGUAACCUGCAUGAUAGACCUUCAUUCCCUGCCUCUGCCCCCAAGAAGGUGACCUGGUCUGAAACAGUCCUUUCUUGUCUUUUGCUGAAGAGCUUCCUUGCCUCACCCUCCUCCUGCCUAUAAAAACCAUCCAUUUUGUGUAAUUCCUCUGAGCAUCCUCUACUCACUAGGUGGGAUGCUGCUGCAUUCUUGAAUCAUUGAAUAAAACCAAUUAGAUCUUCAAU